This is a long non-coding RNA of Chiroxiphia lanceolata (lance-tailed manakin), 310 nucleotides long. RefSeq lists it as uncharacterized. NCBI's taxonomy places the organism in Eukaryota, Metazoa, Chordata, Aves, Passeriformes, Pipridae. The record is from RefSeq and is a predicted model, not a curated record. The transcript has 3 exons.
UUGAGUGAGAAGGAAUCAAGCAGACUGGGGAAUCAUUUCACAUUCCAAUUUAGGAUUUUAGGGCUCCAUGAGGGAUGUUUUUCCAUUGCAUGGGAGUAAAAUCCUGCAACUCUGACUCCCUGGUCAUGAAGGCAUAGCUGUCCAGGGCUUCGGAGCAGCUACAGCAAAGGAGGCCUAAGGUCUGGGCAGUGGUCCCUGGAACUCCAGGAAUUUAAUAUAAAAGUGUGUUGGCUAAGGUAUUACUAAGGAGGGCAUCUGGAGAUCUGUGGUAAGUCAUGGAUUUCCCUAGUUCUCCUGAAGACUGGGAGGA